GAUUGAAAAUGUGACGUCAUUCAGGGGUAAAACCGCAAAGGAUUCUGGGAGGUGGUGGUAAGAGGUACUAGCGGGCACUGGCUUUCAAUAGAAAUCAGUUAAACAGCGAUAAAAAGAAACAUAAAAUGGCAAGAAGCUGUUGUAUUAUUAACUGCACAAGCCGGGCGAACGACAGCCACGUGAAGUCGACGGGAAAUGCGUUUGGUUUUUAUCGGAUUCCGGCGUGAAAGAGAAAUUGUCCAAGCCAUGUCUCCGAAGUCACGAAGAGGCGACGGAUGGCCUGGAUUGCCGCUAUCCUUAUACCUAAUAUAACGUUCGAAAACACUCCACCUCACAUGUUAGUCUGCUCCAAGCAUUUCCACAAAGCCAUACAGACACGUUGCCAGUGGGAACUGGAAAUGUCAGAGUGGCAUUCAUCCCAGUAUGUUUGAAGAUCCACUGCUCUGAAGGAGAGAGAAGAAAAGAAAACGGAGUGAAGACUCAUCACCUCCACAGCAGCCAAUCAGCUUCUGUUCAGAGCCACCCACCAAACUACUGAGCCAAACUUUAACGCUCGUCUGACUGUGAGUCCCAGCAGCUCUCAGUUCAUCAACCUCCUAGGACCUGGCAUCC
Oreochromis aureus is the source of this 612-nucleotide long non-coding RNA. RefSeq lists it as uncharacterized. NCBI's taxonomy places the organism in Eukaryota, Metazoa, Chordata, Actinopteri, Cichliformes, Cichlidae. The transcript has 3 exons. The record is from RefSeq and is a predicted model, not a curated record.